RNAcentral lists this ribosomal RNA (301 nucleotides) under uncultured bacterium. RNAcentral's name for it is "partial 16S ribosomal RNA". It matches the Rfam family "Bacterial small subunit ribosomal RNA", at positions 509 to 807 of the family's 1533-position model. The record is from RNAcentral.
CAGCAGCCGCGGUAAUACGUAGGGUGCAAGCGUUAAUCGGAAUUACUGGGCGUAAAGCGUGCGCAGGCGGUGUUGUAAGACUGAUGUGAAAUCCCCGGGCUCAACCUGGGAACUGCAUUGGUGACUGCAACGCUGGAGUGCGGCAGAGGGGGAUGGAAUUCCGCGUGUAGCAGUGAAAUGCGUAGAUAUCGGAAGGAACACCUGUGGCGAAAGCGGCUCACUGGACCAUUACUGACGCUGAGGCACGAAAGCGUGGGGAGCAAACAGGAUUAGAUACCCCCGUAGUCCCUGUCUCUUAUAC